This 372-nucleotide unclassified non-coding RNA is filed under the name uncultured fungus. Its description in RNAcentral is "sequence contains ITS1". Lineage: Eukaryota; Fungi. The record is from RNAcentral.
AAAUAUGACCUCAUCUAUAUUGAAAAUAUUUCGCUUGCCCUUGAUAUAAAGAUCAUCAUCCAUACUAUUCGUUUGAUCUUUUUAGGCAAAGGCAGGUAACAAGCACAACCCGUCAACUCUAAAUUAUAACACAUGAAAUAAACAUAAAAAUUAUCCCUGCCCGCCGUUGUCAUUCAGGCGGGGAGCUAACUUAUAGCAACAGCGAUGAUAAUUUUUAUUGUUUAUCCUAUUUGACUAAAAAACAACAAAAAAUAACAAAUGAAAAGACUUGCCUUUUUCAUUCUUACUCUUACAGCAAUUAAUGCAUCUGCGCAACAGAAUUACUGGCAGCAGGAAGUGCAUUAUACAAUUGAUGUUAAAUUGAAUGUUGCU